AUAUAUAUAUAAUGUGGGGAAUGCGUACGAGGUAUAUAUCCAUAUACAUAACGAGACACAUACGCAUACACGUAUACACGCGGAGCCGCAGACCGUGGAAUAGUUUGCGCGCGUGCCAGAUGCGAGUGACGUGUGUAAACUUUUCCUUUUCGCGCGGAGCAUGUCGAUUGAAUCGAUUCCCAAUCGAUCACGUUUAAUCUCGGUUAAUUCGUUAACUAGAAACUAGCUCGGCGACCACAGUGACGAUCCAAUAGCUCGAUCGCAUCAUUUCCGUUGUCUUGACUCGUCGCAACAUUUCGAAGUUGUUUCAAGAUAUUUUUUUAAGUACCUUUGUAUCGAGAUUUCUUUUAAAUACCUUCUAUUUGUAAAGAGUAUGUACUUGUAAUGAGGAGACUAAUUUCGAUCUGAAGAAAAUUUCGUUAACUGGCGAAGCUCGCGUUGCCGAUAUUACUCGUGUAAUUAUUCUCGAUGCGUACACGUGAUAAUCAAAAUUAUUUGAAAAUUUACUUUAAUUUUUAAAGACUAUGGAAAUGAAUUCCUUAACUUAAAAAAACCAUUUCGUUGACUGGAAAAGCUAGUGUUACCGAUAUGAUUAUUCAUAUUCGCCUGGAUAUUAUUUCCAUCAUGAUGUAUCGCAAUGAUUCAAGUUUAACCAAAAUUAUUUGAAAAUCUAUUUCAAAUAUCUUGUACCUUUGUAAAUACUAAAGAAACUAAUUCCGACCUACAGAACAUUUCGAGUAUGAUUGUGAUUCAUUGUCAUUCGCUUGAAUAUCAUUGUACCGUAAUAUUUCAAGUUUAAUCAAAAUUAUUUAAAAAUUUAUUUUAAACACCUUGCUCGUACUUGCAAAGACCAAGGAAACCAAGGACAGAUUAAUCGAUUAAUUGACAAAGUUCCUAUUGAUAAUAUAGUAGAAAGAUUCGAGUAAAAUUCAAACGAGGAAUAUCGAAUAAUCCAUCCAUCCCGCGGAGGAAGUGUCUCAAACAUGAAAUAUUUAAGCAUCUGGCACGCACACGGCGAUCGCCUCGUGAACCUUCGGGUUGGAGCUGAUUAGAGUAAUGAGCGAAAGAUGUACGAAAGCGUAUAAACGCGCGCGCGUUUAUAAGUGAUCGAUAGUUGGAGAAUAAUGGCCGCAAGCGGCCCUUUAACACGGCUAUUUAAUCACUGCGACUCUCGAGCUUCUGUUUGGUUCAAUGUACAAUGCGGCCCUCGCAGAUCCGAUCGCCGAUAGAUUCUUCGUCUCUCUGAACGUUUUCUUCUCGGCCAGCCUUCGAUCCUUGAAACGAGCCUCAGCGGCGCUCAGAUCGAUCGAGUGCAAUAACUAGCGUUGUUGUCUGCGUUAAAAUCUGUUCUAAAAGAUUGUAACACUUUUCUAACAGUCUCUUCUCUUUUACAGAGAGAAGAAUGUAUCGCGCGAUCGGUGAUUUGUCGAUGAGAAAAAAGGGGGGAGGGGGGGGGGACAAGAAGAAGAAAAAAAGAAAAUACGAAAGA
This is a long non-coding RNA of Frieseomelitta varia, 1489 nucleotides long. RefSeq lists it as uncharacterized. The record is from RefSeq and is a predicted model, not a curated record. NCBI's taxonomy places the organism in Eukaryota, Metazoa, Arthropoda, Insecta, Hymenoptera, Apidae. The transcript is spliced from 2 exons.